Molecule: small RNA, 3567 nt
Filed under: Histoplasma capsulatum var. duboisii H88
Lineage: Eukaryota; Fungi; Ascomycota; Eurotiomycetes; Onygenales; Ajellomycetaceae
Description: Histoplasma capsulatum H88 hypothetical RNA
Source: RNAcentral
CAUUGCACUCACAACAAUCACCCGGCCGUUCUGGGCCCCCGUGAAAAUGAAACAGAGAUUCUCCUCUCUCGACGUCAAGGUCAUAUCGAGGGAGCUCUCACAGGCUCUGGUUGGUCUACGAAUUUCUAACAUCUAUGACCUGCCAUAGCGAAUAUUCCUCUUCAAGCUAGCCAAACCAGACACAAGAAGGCAACUCAUCGUCGACACCGGCUUCAGAUGCCAUCUUACGAGGUACUCUCGCACUACUGCCGCUGCCCCCUCCUCAUUUACCAGUCGCUUGCGCAAGUUCCUGAAAACAAGAAGGGUCACAGCUGUCUCUCAAGUGGGCACAGAUAGGAUCAUUGAUAUCGAGCUUAGCGAUGGCAACUUCCAUGUCCUCCUAGAGUUCUAUGCGGCAGGAAAUAUUAUCCUAACCGACAAGGAGUAUAAGAUACUUGCACUUCACCGGAUUGUACCUGAAGGCAGCGACCAGGAAGAGGUUAGAGUGGGAUUGCAAUACGUUCUCACUAACAAGCAGAAUUACAAUGGAGUGCCGCCGUUAUCUAUUGAGAGAUUAAGGGAUGCAUUGGAAAAGUCGAAGGAUGUUACGGGACCCGCCGAGGCUGCGGGAAAGAACAAAAGAGCGAAAAAGAAGCAGGCUGAAGCUCUAAGGCGAGCUGUCUCGCUGGGAUUCCCGGAGUAUCCGCCUCUGCUUCUUGAACAUGCAUUCCAUAUAACUGGUUUCGACACGAGUCUGAAACCGGAGCAGCUGGUAGAAGAUCCCAAACUGGCGGAAAAGCUUAUGGUGGCGCUUGUGGUGGCAGAAAAUGUCAACUCCAGUCUUUCAACUGCGGAGGAAACGCCAGGGUAUAUUGUCUCGAAAACAGAAGGUAAAGCUGGAGAGGAUGCCUCGGUGGAUUCUACUGAUCCAUCCAAGUUGAGAAACGUGGCGUAUAUUGAUUUUCACCCUUUCGAGCCGAAGCAGUUUGAGAGUGAACCUGGAACAUCAAUUCUGAGGUUUGAUACGUUCAGCAAAGCAGUGGACGAGUACUUCUCGUCAGUCGAAUCACAGAAACUCGAAUCGAGACUUACUGAGCGUGAGGAGAUUGCAAAAAGAAAAUUAGAAGCUGCCCAGAAAGAUCAGGACAAGCGUGUUGGGGUGUUGAAGGAGGCUCAGGAACUUCACAUCCGCAAGGCGCAGGCAAUCGAAGCCAAUUUGCUGCGUGUUGAGGAGGCAAUAAAUGCCGUCAACGGGUUGAUAGCGCAGGGUAUGGACUGGGGCGAAAUUGCUCGUUUGAUAGAGAUGGAACAGAGUCGCCAGAAUCCCGUAGCCAAGGUUAUAAAAUUACCGCUGAAGUUGUACGAAAAUGCGGUUACCUUGCUUUUAGGGGAGCCUACGGAAAAUGAAGAACCGAUGGAUGAAUCUGAGGAGGAGGCGGAAGUGGAAGAGGAGGAAGAACAGGAAAGUAGCGAAGAUGAAGAUAGCGGGAAGAAGCCUGGAGUAUCCAAAAAAACACGGCAACCGCUACUAUCGAUUGAUAUUGAUCUUGGGAUCUCGCCCUGGGCAAAUGCGAGACAAUACUAUGAACAGAAGAAAGCUGCCGCAGUGAAAGAAGAGAAAACUCUCAAUUCCACCAAGACGGCUAUAAAAAGCACGGAAAAGAAGGUUGCUGCGGACCUUAAGCAGGCAUUGAAACAGGAAAAACCCGUCCUUCGGCCUACGAGGACACCGUUCUGGUUUGAAAAAUUCAUAUUUUUUUUGUCUUCUGAUGGAUAUCUUGUUUUGGGUGGCAGAGACGUCCAACAAACGGAAAUACUGUACCGACGACAUCUAAAAAGAGGGGAUGUGUUUGUACACGCUGAUGUGCAAGGAGCUAUUCCCAUCAUUGUCAAAAAUAAACCGGGCACCCCAGAUGCUCCUAUCCCACCGGGGACUCUUUCCCAAGCCGGCAACCUCUGCGUAGCAACUUCAACUGCAUGGGAUUCUAAAGCGGUAAUGGGGGCGUGGUGGGUGAAUGCCGAUCAAGUAUCCAAGACUACGCCAUUAGGUGAAUACCUUGUAACGGGUGGUUUUGUUAUCUGUGGCGAGAAAAAUCACCUUUCUCCGGCUCAGCUUCUCCUCGGGUUUGCGGUAAUGUUUCAAAUCAGCGGAGAAAGUAUCAAGAAUCAUACCAAGCAUAGAGUGCAGGAUGAGACUCCUAUCUCAGAGAGUGCGAAGGAUACUCUGGGGACUGAAGAACUACCCUCUGGUCUCGAUUUGGAAACGCCAAAAUACUCUAAAAUAAAUGAGACAGAUCAUCAGCAUCAAGAGUCUGAUGGUACGGAUCAAGAAAACGGGGAAAUUGAACAAAUUGCGGACAAUAAGCGAACAAAUCCCUUGUUGAAUGAUGGGGCCGAAUCGAAUCGUUCUGGUAGUGAAAGUGAGGAACCGAACAUUGGGGGAAAUGGAUCCCAAGAUGUCGACGCUAGAUAUGACAAGGGAUAUGAUAACUCUAGAUUCGAAGCUGUGGAAGUACCAAAAUUGGGACAAAUGGAAAACUUACCCAAGGAAGAGGCAAGCUCCGAACCGCAAACGGACUCCAUCACAGUACAACCUGCCAAACACCCCUUUGUCAGGGAAAGACGUCUGUUGAAAAAUGGGAUCAUCGAACAGGUCCCUGCGCGCCUGACUGAUCCUGCGUCCCAUUCGGCCACCAAUGUACCAUCACGUUCCUCAACUCCAUCCAUAGGGGCAUCAACCGCCACGCCAAACAUCCGCGGAAAACGCGGCAAAAACAAAAAAAUUGCCACCAAAUACCAGCACCAGGACGAGGAGGACCGUGAGCUCGCUCUCCGCCUCCUGGGUUCCGAUUCUAAGCCGGAUAAGCUUCGCGAAGCUGCCAAACGCAAGGCGGAUCGACUGGCCGAGCUUGAAGCCCAAAAGCAAAGACGUCGUGCACAGCACGAUCGAGCAGCUCAGGCUGAGCGAGAGCGACAAAAGGCAUUGCAACAACAAGCAGAGACACAAGCAGGUGGUGAUGAUGCUGACGGUGGUGAUACACAACUCGAUGCAGAUACUGCGGCUGAUCUUUCUUGUCUUCCUUCACUCAUUGGCACUCCUGUGGCAGGUGAUGAAAUCGUCGCAGCAAUUCCCGUCUGUGCACCCUGGACAGCCCUCAGCCAAUAUAAGUAUCGCGCCAAGUUACAGCCUGGGACUGUCAAGAAGGGGAAGGCUGUCAAAGAAAUUUUGGGAAAGUGGGUUGUUGAUGCGACAUCGGAGGCGAAUGCAAUAGAAAAAGGAAUGCGGAAAUGGAAGCGGAAGCAAGAUGACCACGAAAGUGAUGGCGAGGCUGUCAAUGAGAAUACGAACGAGGAAACAGGGAGAGAAAAUGAGGGUAAAGGAGAAGACCGCAACAGUCAUGGGCUUAAUCAGUUAGCGCAGGUAGAGCUUGAGCUUAUAAAGGGAUGGAGGGAUGUUGAAAUCAUGAAUACGCUCCCUGUAAGCAAGGUUAAGAUUGUUUCUGGCGGUGGCGGUGGUGGUGUAGGUGAAAAGGGCGGGGAACGGAAGGGUGCUAAAACCAGUGGAGGUGGAAGGAAGAGUGAGAAGAG